AACGCGAAGAACCUUACCUGGGCUCGAAAUGCAGGAGACCGGGGUAGAAAUAUCCUUUCCCCGCAAGGGGCUGCUGUAUAGGUGCUGCAUGGCUGUCGUCAGCUCGUGUCGUGAGAUGUUGGGUUAAGUCCCGCAACGAGCGCAACCCUCAUCCCUAGUUGCCACCGGGUCAAGCCGAGCACUCUAGUGAAACCGCCCCGGAUAACGGGGAGGAAGGUGGGGAUGACGUCAAGUCCUCAUGGCCUUUAUGUCCAGGGCUACACACGUGCUACAAUGGUCGGUACAAACCGUCGCAAAGCUGCAAAGUGGAGCUAAUCGGAAAAAGCCGGCCUCAGUUCGGAUUGGAGUCUGCAACUCGACUCCAUGAAGCUGGAAUCGCUAGUAAUCGCAGAUCAGAACGCUGCGGUGAAUACGUUCCCGGGCCUUGUACACACCGCUCGCGA
Molecule: ribosomal RNA, 443 nt
Filed under: uncultured bacterium
Lineage: Bacteria
Description: bacterial SSU rRNA
Rfam family: Bacterial small subunit ribosomal RNA
Source: RNAcentral